RNAcentral lists this long non-coding RNA (301 nucleotides) under Olea europaea (common olive). Its description in RNAcentral is "long non-coding RNA (OEUR_LNC005426)". The record is from RNAcentral. Lineage: Eukaryota; Viridiplantae; Streptophyta; Magnoliopsida; Lamiales; Oleaceae.
GAGAGAGAGAGAGAGAGGAAUAUUCUCUGUGCAUUCACGAUUCAAAGGCUUGAAUUUUACUCUUCGUUUCUUUGCAGGGGAGAAACUUGUUGAAGAUUUGCAGUCUGGUCCAGAAAAUUUUGCUGGAGGUUCAAAUAGAAUAUUGAGCAUCAAUACUCUCGCUGGAUUUCAUUUACCCCAAAUUCUGUCAACAGAAGAUCAAUAUUGAAUGAUUACCAAAGUUCAAGGACCACGACCCAAAAUCAGGGAAUUCAAAGAAAUUCACCUUUCUCGCAUAAUGGUUACUACCCGAACCACNNNN